This 301-nucleotide ribosomal RNA is filed under the name uncultured bacterium. RNAcentral's name for it is "partial 16S ribosomal RNA". It matches the Rfam family "Bacterial small subunit ribosomal RNA", at positions 509 to 808 of the family's 1533-position model. The record is from RNAcentral.
CAGUAGCCGCGGGAAAACGAAGGGGGCUAGCGUUGUUCGGAAUUACUGGGCGUAAAGCGCACGUAGGCGGAUAUUUAAGUCAGGGGUGAAAUCCCGCAGCUCAACUGCGGAACUGCCUUUGAUACUGGGUAUCUUGAGUAUGGAAGAGGUUAGUGGAAUUGCGAGUGUAGAGGUGAAAUUCGUAGAUAUUCGCAGGAACACCAGUGGCGAAGGCGGCUAACUGGUCCAUAACUGACGCUGAGGUGCGAAAGCGUGGGGAGCAAACAGGAUUAGAUACCCCCGAGUCCCUGUCUCUUAUACA